AUGUGCAUCCCAAAAACAAGUAGAUGAAUGGGGUUUAGGGAUUUGCAUGCUUUUAAUCUUGCUAUGCUAGCUAAACGGAGUUGGAGGUUGAUUAAUUAACCAGAUACUUUAUGUGCUAGUGUGCUAAGAGCUAAGUAUUACCCAGAUGGCAAUUUACUAAAAGAAAGACCUAAAAAGGGGUCAUCUUUCACAUGGCAGAGGAUAAUUGCUGGAUUGCAUACUUUUAUGAGAUGACACAUAUGGAGAGUUGGAACUUGUACCAGUAUCAAUAUUUGGGAGGACCAUUGGGUGCCUAGUAGUCAUAGCAGAAAAGUUAUAACAUCAAAGGGUGAAAUAUUGCUACGAACAGUUGAUGAGCUAAUUGAUCCAUACACAGGACAGUGGGAUGAGCUGUUGAUCAGAGCCAGUUUCCUUAGUGUGGAUGUUUGA
RNAcentral lists this ribosomal RNA (429 nucleotides) under Triticum aestivum (bread wheat). RNAcentral describes it as "partial small subunit ribosomal RNA". The record is from RNAcentral. Lineage: Eukaryota; Viridiplantae; Streptophyta; Magnoliopsida; Poales; Poaceae.